This 454-nucleotide unclassified non-coding RNA is filed under the name Hevea brasiliensis (rubber tree). Lineage: Eukaryota; Viridiplantae; Streptophyta; Magnoliopsida; Malpighiales; Euphorbiaceae. The record is from RNAcentral.
AUUUGUGUUGCCUUUUGUAAUUUCAAUAACUGUUCAGAAAUUUUAUUGUUUUGAGUUGCAUUAUAUAUGUUUAUCAGUAUAUGCUUUGCAUGCAUGUUAAUUAUGUGACCAAUAGCUGAGCUUUUAUCUACUCUUGCAGAACUGGCAGACAUGGUUAUUUAGAUUGACUUUAAGUUGGAGAGUAGUGUCAUGUUUGUGGUGAUUGUUGUUUAUGGUGCUAAAAUUUCUAGUCCUUUUUCCUUAUAGGUUAAUUUGUUUAUUAACUUUGUGUGGCUACAAUACUCCUCAUAUCUGAAAUCAAGCUGAAUUUUAAUUUGCUUGUAGUCAUCAUGAUUUUUCCAAUUUUGUUGCUGCAUUGCCAUUAAACAAUUUGUGUUGGCAUCACAUUACUAGUCUUAAUAAGAAAUACAUGCUUGAAGUUAUGAGUCUAUGCACCAAUUACAUUUAUUCUUGG